GUGGAUGAGCUUCUGUGUUAAAUACGUAUUUGUCAAGAUUAAUUAAGUCUAUGUCAUCUGAAAACAGUAGAAACAUGUAUUUGAGUGUUUCCCCAAGAAAGAAGCUCUCCAUCUUAUCUCGUGGCUCUGGGUUACUGGGGUUCUGAACGUUGUUAAUAGAAGUAUAACCACCUGUUGGAACCCGUGUGUAUUUAUUGAAGUUCUGCAAGAUUUCCCAGCCCCAGUCUUGGUAUUUCUUAUCUCCGGUGAAUCUGUACAUAUAAAAAAGGCUUUCCACAGUUUCUGGUCGCAGUAAGUUGUGCCUGUCUGCAGGCUUGAUUUCUACAUCUUUGUGGCCCUUUUGUGCAUGGAGAUUGAAGUGCACAAUCUCUGGACUCAGGCCUGUCUCUACUUGUGCAUACAUCUGGUAACAUGUUUCUAUCAGGGCUUCGGCCAGCUUCAUAUGAUCAGCAGUCAAUCCAUUGUGAGCUCCCAGAGCCAAAGUCCCAGGCAGAAAACAAACCAAGUGAUCCAUCUUGGCACUGAAAUGGCCAUGAGCAAGCUCUCCUACAAAGGUAAGCUUCUUGGGUUGUGAUCUCUGAAGAAGAUGCUUUUUCACGCCUUCUAUGGCUUUCAUAUAGUCCUCCAACAGUUCAUUUUCUGUUUUCCCACCCUGAAUCCACUGCUUGAGUAAAUACUCAUAGUAGCUGUCAGCUCUGGCUCCCAGAGUAUAAACACCUAAGUGAGUGAACUGCCCACUGUUGGUGUUUAUGAACAUAGGCACCAGUCCAUCAUUUUUCCCUGAAAGGGUGUGAACAUGUUUCAUCACCUCAUCAACAGCUUUCUGGUAUUUUUCAUCCCCAGUGAGACGAGAGAGCUCUCUGAACUCCAGCUGUAUACUGGUCACCUCUGCCACAGUGCUGUCAGACGUCCAGCGGGGUGGGUGUGCGGUGCCCCGGCCAAUGUUGACGUCAGAGUACGGAAUUUUGGAAGGAGUCUUGAAUGCUGGCAUGAGCCUGUUCCCAAUGUCUUUAGCUUUUUCCAGGAAGAGGCUAUCUCCAGAGAGAUGGUAGGUGCUCAGUAAGCCACCCAGAAUACGAAUAGUGCUCUCAAACAGGUUCACAUCCACAUUUUUAUCAAAGGCUAAAUCGUUUGCUACCCAUUUUCUUGCUUCUUCAAACUCUUCUCUCAGGCCUAAAAUCCACAUAGUAUCCAAGGCAUCAAUCAAGGUAAGCCCGAGGCCAAACCACUCACUGUAAGACUUGGAUAAUGGCUUCAGUUCAUCAUGGCCCCAGGCAAAAUCUUUGUAUCCUUUCCACGCGUGGCGGAAG
This 1310-nucleotide long non-coding RNA is filed under the name Gallus gallus (chicken). Lineage: Eukaryota; Metazoa; Chordata; Aves; Galliformes; Phasianidae. The record is from RNAcentral.